UUCCGUCAGAAAGGGUCUGUCAUGGUCAUUCUAGUGUUUCUGAGAAGUGCAGAGGUCCAGAUCCAUCAUGUGCCCAAAACCCUUUUAAGGUCCUUCGGUUAUUGAAUGAACACAGUGGAUAAGAGCAGAUUUUGCAGUUGUAUGAUGAAUGG
Molecule: long non-coding RNA, 152 nt
Organism: Magnolia sinica
Lineage: Eukaryota; Viridiplantae; Streptophyta; Magnoliopsida; Magnoliales; Magnoliaceae
Exons: 3
Source: RefSeq, a predicted model, not a curated record